Molecule: ribosomal RNA, 566 nt
Filed under: uncultured bacterium
Lineage: Bacteria
Description: partial 16S ribosomal RNA
Rfam family: Bacterial small subunit ribosomal RNA
Source: RNAcentral
UGGGGAAUUUUGGACAAUGGGCGAAAGCCUGAUCCAGCAAUGCCGCGUGUGUGAAGAAGGCCUUCGGGUUGUAAAGCACUUUUGUCCGGAAAGAAAUCCUUGGCUCUAAUACAGUCGGGGGAUGACGGUACCGGAAGAAUAAGCACCGGCUAACUACGUGCCAGCAGCCGCGGUAAUACGUAGGGUGCAAGCGUUAAUCGGAAUUACUGGGCGUAAAGCGUGCGCAGGCGGUUUGCUAAGACCGAUGUGAAAUCCCCGGGCUCAACCUGGGAACUGCAUUGGUGACUGGCAGGCUAGAGUAUGGCAGAGGGGGGUAGAAUUCCACGUGUAGCAGUGAAAUGCGUAGAGAUGUGGAGGAAUACCGAUGGCGAAGGCAGCCCCUGGGCCAAUACUGACGCUCAUGCACGAAAGCGUGGGGAGCAAACAGGAUUAGAUACCCUGGUAGUCCACGCCCUAAACGAUGUCAACUAGUUGUUGGGGAUUCAUUUCCUUAGUAACGUAGCUAACGCGUGAAGUUGACCGCCUGGGGAGUACGGUCGCAAGAUUAAAACUUCAAAUGAAUUGAC